Molecule: long non-coding RNA, 1461 nt
Organism: Centruroides sculpturatus (bark scorpion)
Lineage: Eukaryota; Metazoa; Arthropoda; Arachnida; Scorpiones; Buthidae
Exons: 4
Source: RefSeq, a predicted model, not a curated record
AAUUUCUAAAAUACAUUAAAAUUGGUUUUAUACAUAAACACAGACUAAGUGAAAAUAAUGGUAUGCAAUAAAAAAACAAGAACAAAUAUUAAAUAACAAAUCAUUCAUAAAAGUAAAGUAGUUAGACAAGUAUAUAUUUAGGAUAUGUUUUCAAGAUAUUAUGAAUAUGUUUAAAAUUUUAAUGUUUUUUAUUUUCAUAAACUACAUUUUUAUAUUAGAGAAAAACCACUAAAAUGCUAUGAACAUAGAAAUUUUGUUAUAUAGUUUUGAAAGUUAGAUAUUAAAAAAUGCAAUAAAAUGUUUGAAAUGCAGAAGUACAGAGGAAUGUUAAGAAAAAGUUAUGAAGAAAAUGAAAAAAAGCUGUAAAAAAAGAACAUACUUUGGACACAUUCAAUAUGCCAUAGUCUAUAACCAAGAUAGAAGGAAAAAUGAAAGCAAGGAAGAAAACAACUUCAUAGUUGGAUAACAUUAAGGAAUGAACUUUGUGUGAGAAUUCGGAUGCAAGUGUAAAUUUUCACACUGAACUGUGUCACAUCAAAGAUGACUUUUAUCGUCCAAAGAAGGACUCCCCUCACAACAGGGGAUCGUUCAUGUCUAACAGCCGAAGAGGAUCUCUACAGUUGGAGAUCAACAGAGUGUACACCCUCUAAGGACAUAGCUCAGCGGACAUCCAGGGACACCAGUUCCAUACCACCAUACCGUCCUUCGCUCCAUAUCGCCAUCCAAGGGAACUUCAAUUAGAAACCGCCAAUCCCAGUGCGUCAUACCAAUGCCCUAAACGAAGAGAUCAAGUCCUAGUGAGCAAUCAAGAACUAUUCUGUGCUUCAUCCACAAAUCAGCCAGCAGUUUGAUGCAGUUAUAUCAACACAAUCCUGACUGAGAUUAUUAGGGUACCUACUGUAGAGCUCCUUUCAAGCCCAGGUCUGUCUGAUGGUGUCUGUACAUUUUGUGUACUAUGUUAAAUCCAAGUCAGUGCUAUGAAAGUUUAAUGGUAUGCUGUUUUUGUCUGCAAGAGUCACUGCUUUGUGUAAUUAUAAUGUUUAAAAAACAUCUACUUUAUUGAUGCUUCUACUAAAUAAAUAGUUUUCAACUUUGUGCAAUUUUCUGUAGAACAAUUCUUGCAGCAUGUGUAUUUGUUUAAAGUGAAGGCUUACCACAUCAAAACCAGACAAUCUACCAAGAUAUCAGGAUUAUCUGUGCAGUGUCAUCCUUCCACUUUAGGAGAAAAAUCAGCCUUUCUACAGAGGACUUAGUUUUUGAAAUUAAAUAUUUGUGCUUUAUACCUUUUCAUGACGUAUUAACAUUUGAUGACGCUGUAGAAAAAAUAUAUCCUUCAACUGUCGCUUACUUAACUGAUGUUUUUCAUGAAGAUGUCUCUCUUCAUAUUCCCAUAAAGCUGCUUCUUUUGCUGUAAAAAUUUAAAAAAAUUUCAAAUUUCUUAACUGAUAAAAUCAUAUUUAA